This 255-nucleotide ribosomal RNA is filed under the name Deschampsia cespitosa (tufted hair grass). RNAcentral's name for it is "partial 18S ribosomal RNA". It matches the Rfam family "Eukaryotic small subunit ribosomal RNA", at positions 1580 to 1831 of the family's 1831-position model. The record is from RNAcentral. Lineage: Eukaryota; Viridiplantae; Streptophyta; Magnoliopsida; Poales; Poaceae.
AUCAUUGCAAUUGUUGGUCUUCAACGAGGAAUGCCUAGUAAGCGCGAGUCAUCAGCUCGCGUUGACUACGUCCUGCCCUUUGUACACACCGCCCGUCGCUCCUACCGAUUGAAUGGUCCGGUGAAGUGUUCGGAUCGCGGCGACGGGGGCGGUUCGCCGCCCCCGACGUCGCGAGAAGUCCAUUGAACCUUAUCAUUUAGAGGAAGGAGAAGUCGUAACAAGGUUUCCGUAGGUGAACCUGCGGAAGGAUCAUUG